Molecule: ribosomal RNA, 333 nt
Filed under: Triticum aestivum (bread wheat)
Lineage: Eukaryota; Viridiplantae; Streptophyta; Magnoliopsida; Poales; Poaceae
Description: partial small subunit ribosomal RNA
Source: RNAcentral
AUGGCUAGUCCUUCUAUCAUUGUUAGUACUCCUGAUAAUGAAGUUCUUAAUUUUAAACAAAGGGAGGGAGAAAAUCUAAAAGACGCUUGGUAUAGAAUUUGCAAUGCUCAGAAUGGAUCCACUAGGAAGCAAUCUACUUCCAUUCUUCUUCGCAAUUUUUAUGUAGGCAUCACUCCUUGGAACAGAUAUAUUCUUGAUACCAUUACCGGAGGGAAUUUCUUGGGUAGCCAUACUUUUGAUUCUUAUAAUGCUAUGUUAGAUUUGUUUGGCCCACCACCUCUUUUGGUCAAUGGAACUAUUUUUAACUUUGGAACAUGUGAUGCAAAGGCUUGA